UAGGGAAUAUUGGUCAAUGGAUGGAAGUCUGAACCAGCCAUGCCGCGUGCAGGAAGAAGGCCUUCUGGGUUGUAAACUGCUUUUGCCAGGGGCUAAAAAGCUCAUGCGUGAGAAAUUGAAAGUACCUGGUGAAUAAGCCACGGCUAACUACGUGCCAGCAGCCGCGGUAAUACGUAGGUGGCAAGCGUUGUCCGGAUUUAUUGGGUUUAAAGGGUGCGUAGGCGGCUUUGUAAGUCAGUGGUGAAAUAUGGCAGCUCAACUGUCAGGGUGCCAUUGAUACUGCGGAGCUUGAGUACAGAUGAGGUAGGCGGAAUUGACGGUGUAGCGGUGAAAUGCUUAGAUAUCGUCAAGAACACCGAUAGCGAAGGCAGCUUACUGGGCUGUAACUGACGCUGAGGCACGAAAGUGUGGGGGAUCAAACAGGAUUAGAUACCCUGGUAGUCCACACUGUAAACGUUGA
RNAcentral lists this ribosomal RNA (460 nucleotides) under uncultured Bacteroidota bacterium. RNAcentral's name for it is "bacterial SSU rRNA". It matches the Rfam family "Bacterial small subunit ribosomal RNA", at positions 355 to 812 of the family's 1533-position model. The record is from RNAcentral. Lineage: Bacteria; Pseudomonadati; Bacteroidota.